GACGAACGCUGGCGGCGUGCUUAACACAUGCAAGUCGAACGGAAAGGCCCUGCUUUUGUGGGGUGCUCGAGUGGCGAACGGGUGAGUAACACGUGAGUAACCUGCCCUUGACUUUGGGAUAACUUCAGGAAACUGGGGCUAAUACCGGAUAGGAGCUCCUGCUGCAUGGUGGGGGUUGGAAAGUUUCGGCGGUUGGGGAUGGACUCGCGGCUUAUCAGCUUGUUGGUGGGGUAGUGGCUUACCAAGGCUUUGACGGGUAGCCGGCCUGAGAGGGUGACCGGCCACAUUGGGACUGAGAUACGGCCCAGACUCCUACGGGAGGCAGCAGUGGGGAAUAUUGCACAAUGGGCGGAAGCCUGAUGCAGCAACGCCGCGUGCGGGAUGACGGCCUUCGGGUUGUAAACCGCUUUCGCCUGUGGCGAAGCGUGAGUGACGGUAAUGGGUAAAGAAGCACCGGCUAACUACGCG
This 468-nucleotide ribosomal RNA is filed under the name uncultured bacterium. RNAcentral describes it as "partial 16S ribosomal RNA". It matches the Rfam family "Bacterial small subunit ribosomal RNA", at positions 28 to 507 of the family's 1533-position model. The record is from RNAcentral.